GGUUUGUUUGGUUUGAACAUAGGCUUUAAACAUUAUUGGGUCCUAGUUAGGCUAUGCAUUCAAUAAAAAACCUAGCCCUUUGUAUUUCAUGGCAUGCCACAUGUACCUUUUGGAUUUGAUGGCACUUCAAUUUGGGGAAAGGGAUAUGAGUCUUCUCAAUCCUGGAUGGUUUCCUAUGAACAUUCCUCACAGCCCUGCUCAAAUUUGGCAUGAGCCUAGGAGAGCUCCAGCCUCUCAAAGAGCUGGAAACAUCUGUAACCUUUCGACUAUAAUUGGGACAUUGCCUCUGAGACACAAUUGUAUAUCAAAGUCAGCUUGAAGCAGCCAAACAGGGUAGUCACAGAGUCAUCUAUUUUACGUUGGUCAUAGGACUUUUCUUGAAGCAGCUAUUCCUCGAGAUAGAAAUGCCCAAAGCCAGACAAGUUCACAUCAGAGUCCUUACAAGAUUCUGUGCUGAAAGUUUCAGUCUUACAUAAUUAUCGACUUUCUUCUCAUGACACGAAAUACAUAUAUCUUAACUAGAAUAAUCUUAUCUUUGAAGUUUUUGUUGAUUGCUCAUAUCAGACUUUUGUACAUGUAAAAGUGAAAGCUAUAGGACUGGUUUGUAUUUGGUUUGAGUUUUAUUGCUGGCAUCUUUGCAGGUAUACAAAUUCAGUUUCUCGGCCACAGCUUGCUGAAGAAUGCCCCAACAGUGAUCGCAUAUUUUACAACAGGGAUUCUUUCAACUGUUCGAAUUUUCUUGAUGUUGACUGGCUUUCCUCAUCUGGAAAUUCAUGUGAAGACGAAACAUAUGAGAGGUCAACACUUGUAGGCUCUCCUAUCGGUGGUCAAUCAUCUGACAAUGUAAUAAAUGAAAUGUGCACCUUCGCUAGCGAUUCUGAGAUAUCUCUUACUGUGAAGGAUGGUAGAGGUGGGUUUUCAGAUAGAUUUGCAGAAUGGGUGACCAAUGGGGAUAUGUUCCUUUGAUCAGUUUUGCCAACAGAAAACCUAAAAUCUUCUUACCCAUAAAUCAUUGAAUUCAGUCAUCCCCUCCAAAGGAUGUGGGUUGCAAAGCAGAAAUAAGUGGUAAGAGAAUACCAUUAGAGAAACAAAAAGAAGAAGCUGCAUUUUUUAUGAAGAAAGAUAUAGAACCCCUUAAAAAAAAAGUAAAAGUAAAAGUAUGCUAACCCUUGUAAAAAAGAUGAUACUAAAAGCAUACAUGAAAACCCUUCUAGUACAGUACAAAAAAGAGUAAAAAACUACAACUGGUUUUUUUUUUCCUUCACAAUUUGAAUCUUUGUAAAUAAUUUUUUGAUGCUAUUUAGUCAGAUUGGAGAUUCAUUCUAUAAGUGUUCUUUCUUCCUUUCA
Cynara cardunculus var. scolymus (artichoke) is the source of this 1347-nucleotide long non-coding RNA. RefSeq lists it as uncharacterized. The transcript is spliced from 3 exons. The record is from RefSeq and is a predicted model, not a curated record. NCBI's taxonomy places the organism in Eukaryota, Viridiplantae, Streptophyta, Magnoliopsida, Asterales, Asteraceae.